This 253-nucleotide ribosomal RNA is filed under the name uncultured bacterium. RNAcentral describes it as "partial 16S ribosomal RNA". It matches the Rfam family "Bacterial small subunit ribosomal RNA", at positions 524 to 776 of the family's 1533-position model. The record is from RNAcentral.
UACAGAGGGUGCGAGCGUUAAUCGGAAUUACUGGGCGUAAAGCGUGCGCAGACGGUCAUGUAAGUCGGGUGUGAAAGCCCCGGGCUCAACCUGGGAAUUGCAUUCGAGACUGUGUGGCUAGGGUGCGGAAGAGGGAAGCGGAAUUUCCGGUGUAGCGGUGAAAUGCGUAGAUAUCGGGAGGAACACCUGUGGCGAAAGCGGCUCACUGGACCAUAACUGACGCUGAUGCACGAAAGCUGGGGGAGCAAACAGG